AAGCGUGCGCAGGCGGUUUUGUAAGACUGUCGUGAAAUACCCCGGGCUCAACCUGGGAAUGGCGAUGGUGACUGCAAGGCUAGAGUUUGGCAGAGGGGGGUAGAAUUCCACGUGUAGCAGUGAAAUGCGUAGAUAUGUGGAGGAACACCGAUGGCGAAGGCAGCCCCCUGGGUCAAAACUGACGCUCAUGCACGAAAGCGUGGGGAGCAAACAGGAUUAGAUACCCUAGU
RNAcentral lists this ribosomal RNA (230 nucleotides) under uncultured bacterium. RNAcentral's name for it is "partial 16S ribosomal RNA". It matches the Rfam family "Bacterial small subunit ribosomal RNA", at positions 563 to 791 of the family's 1533-position model. The record is from RNAcentral.